CGACCACCAUGGCAUAUAUGCAAACCUAAUUCAGAACUGCACGCGAUUCACACAGAAAAAAAAUAUUACGGACAUGCACUUUCAAAGGAAAUCAUACACAAGUCCAACAACAUGAACAGUAAACCCUAGCUACAAUAUUAAUUCGAAGGCGACAACACUGACAAAGCAUACCACAAAUAUUGUAUUCAAGAAUGCGACAACUCAUUCUAAAUAAUACAACUUGUAUUGCAAAUAAGCGACAAAGCAUACCACAAAAGUUUUAAAGAAUCAAACAAGGAGUACCUUUUCACCAUUUUUUAGACCUUGGGACCACUUGGUCACAAGUUUACUGACUUGUGCUUCGAAAUGGCAAUAAACAAAUCAAACACCUGCGAAACCCUUUCUGUUUCAACAAAACAAACCUUUAAUUUUGCUAUGAAAUUGAAGAACGGGCUUUGUCAGUAAUCUGGGAAUCUAAAGAUUAAGACAAAUGAAAAGGUGGAAAUGAAAAAGUGGAAGUGAAAAGCUGGAAAACGAAGAGAGGAAGAGAAUGGAGGGUUUGGCGCGCCUUUUCUUGUGCAGAAACGACGUCGUUUCAACUUCCGCAUAGUUGGACGCCACCUAUACGCCACCUGGCCGCCAGUUUGCUUAAAUGUAGACACGUAUGCAGAAUUCCUAUUUUGCCCUUGCCGGAAUUUGAACGGAAUACCUAAAUCAGAUUAAAUUGUAAGAUUGGUAUUUUGUAUUACAGACAUUGAAGUAUAGUACCCAAACCAGAAUUUGGGUAUAGUUAAGUAAUUUAGCCGUCAUUAACCCUUUAAUUUUCUUUUGAACUCCUGCAGGGAGACAAAGAAAGCCAACAGAGCAUUCAAAGAAGGUUUCAUCCAUCAACCUUCAUAUUUUAUUUCUUGAAACAAGAAAAGCAUAUAGAAUCUCCUAUCUUCUUGCAGAAAUCUGCACACACUCAGGACCCACAUCUCCAACCUCACCAACUUUUAAGGUCGAUUUAAUUCCUUGAAUUCUUUUUAUUCUUAUGCAUAAGAAACCACAGCAAGAACUAGACCGCAACAAGAAAUAGAGAACUUCCAAAACUUAGUACUCACAGUAGCAUAAAUUUCUUUAAAUCCAAUCUGCAGAUUCCUAGUCUAAAAUCUCUUGUCAUAAUCGGACCUUUUUCACCUCAUUAAUCAAGACAAACCACAAGAACAAGCAUACACACACAACGACUCAUGCUUCUAAUAAAAUCAAGAAAAACACUCAAAGAUUUGAUUGUUAUUUCAAAACUGAAUCUUUUUACUUAUCUUGGUUUGGGUUGUUGAGAGUCGAAGGGUGGGGAGAGUAUCUUUUUCGUUUCUGGGGCUGCAUGUCUGAUCGGGAAAGUCGGCGGCACAAGGCGGCAGCGACCGGUGGCUGGAUGAUGGCGAGACAGACCGGACGACGGUGGCGGCGUGAGGCGGCAGACGCCAGAGCAGCAGGGGCAGCAGUCUUUCUUGAGCUGCUGUUUCCGCUGAGAGCGUGAGAGGAAGAGAGAUAAUAGGAUCCGAGGAAGACGAACGGGGCGGGGCGGCGCGGCCGAAGGCCAAGCGCCGCCGGUCACAGCAGAGGGGGAGAACGGCAGUGGCGGCGGCCCUCCAUGGCCGCUCGUCGACUGAUAUGUGCGAAAGAGGGAGAGGGGCAGACCGGCGAAGGAAUGAGAGCAUUCCCGGGUGAUUCCGGCGACAAUUUUCGCCGGGAGAAGGAGCGGCAGCGGCGGCAUGUUAGAGAGGGAGGUGGGCGCGCAGUGAGAGAACAUGGAGGGAGAGCCGAUAGCUUGAAGAGAGAGAGAGAGUAGUUUCUUUUCUAACUUUAAUUUACGUCUAAAAUGUUUAGUUUAGGGUUUUAGUAAUUCAUUUGGGCUUCCUUUAAUUAGUUGGGCUUUUAUAUUUUUAUGGGCCGAAAAUUUGAUUUAUUUGGGCAAGAUGGGCUUCAAUUAUUCAUAGUAUGCUUCCUUUAAUUAGUUGGGCUUUUAUAUUUUUAUGGGCCGAAAUUUGAUUUAUUUGGGUAAGAUGGGCUUCAAUUAUUCAUAGUAUAUUGGACCAUUUUUUUAAACAAGCCUAUUAAUUAUAAAUUGCUUAUUAUUUUAUAAGUUUGGAUUUACUAUUAAAUUAUUAAUUAUUUUGGGGAUUUGUAUUAUUGUUAUUAUUAUUAGAAAUGUUUAUUAUCUUAAUCUGGGCAAAGUGUAUCGAUAGUUAGUAUUUCCUGUUACCUAGAAAUUAGAAUGAAACCUUGGGAUCUAUUUAAGAAUAGAUUUCUUGUAGGUUUGAGUGACCAAGGACAGUGAAGUCUCAAAGCNCCAGAACUCGGCUAACAUACUAUCAAAAGAAAAGACAUCUUUAACCUCAUCCUCGUUCAACCAUCAUCUCUAUACAUCUUUCAUCUCUAUACAUCUUUAUUUCCUCAAAGUAUUUCAUUCACUAGUUCUUCAUUGAAAACAUAAUAGUUCAACCAUUAGAAAUCUCAUCUCAUCAAUAGCUUAUUUUUAUAUCUCAGUACUCUUAAAACACAAGGUACUUAUAAUAAGGAAAAAAAAAUGCGGGGUGUUACAAUCAUACACAAGUCCAACAACAUGAACAGUAAACCCUAGCUACAAUAUUAAUUCGAAGGCGACAACACUGACAAAGCAUACCACAAAUAUUGUAUUCAAGAAUGCGACAACUCAUUCUAAAUAAUACAACUUGUAUUGCAAAUAAGAGACAAAGCAUACCACAAAAGUUUUAAAGAAUCAAACAAGGAGUACCUUUUCACCAUUUUUUAGACCUUGGGACCACUUGGUCACAAGUUUACUGACUUGUGCUUCGAAAUGGCAAUAAACAAAUCAAACACCUGCGAAACCCUUUCUGUUUCAACAAAACAAACCUUUAAUUUUGCUAUGAAAUUGAAGAACGGGCUUUGUCAGUAAUCUGGGAAUCUAAAGAUUAAGACAAAUGAAAAGGUGGAAAUGAAAAAGUGGAAGUGAAAAGCUGGAAAACGAAGAGAGGAAGAGAAUGGAGGGUUUGGCGCGCCUUUUCUUCUGCAGAAACGACGUCGUUUCAACUUCCGCAUAGUUGGACGCCACCUAUACGCCACCUGGCCGCCAGUUUGCUUAAAUGUAGACACGUAUGCAGAAUUCCUAUUUUGCCCUUGCCGGAAUUUGAACGGAAUACCUAAAUCAGAUUAAAUUGUAAGAUUGGUAUUUUGUAUUACAGACAUUGAAGUAUAGUACCCAAACCAGAAUUUGGGUAUAGUUAAGUAAUUUAGCCGUCAUUAACCCUUUAAUUUUCUUUUGAAC
This 3286-nucleotide long non-coding RNA is filed under the name Salvia miltiorrhiza (redroot sage). RNAcentral's name for it is "long non-coding RNA (SMIL_LNC004887)". The record is from RNAcentral. Lineage: Eukaryota; Viridiplantae; Streptophyta; Magnoliopsida; Lamiales; Lamiaceae.